RNAcentral lists this ribosomal RNA (427 nucleotides) under uncultured bacterium. Its description in RNAcentral is "bacterial SSU rRNA". It matches the Rfam family "Bacterial small subunit ribosomal RNA", at positions 354 to 772 of the family's 1533-position model. The record is from RNAcentral.
GUGGGGAAUUGUUCACAAUGGGCGCAAGCCUGAUGACGCAACGCCGCGUGGGGGAUGAAGGCCUUCGGGUCGUAAACCCCUGUCGAAUGGGACGAAUAACUUCCGGAUUAAUACCCCGGAGGAAUGACGGUACCGUUAAAGGAAGCCACGGCUAACUCUGUGCCAGCAGCCGCGGUAAUACAGAGGUGGCAAGCGUUGUUCGGAAUUACUGGGCGUAAAGGGCGCGUAGGCGGCCAUCUAAGUCAGACGUGAAAUCCCCCGGCUUAACCUGGGAACUGCGUCUGAUACUGGACGGCUUGAGUAUGGGAGAGGGAUGUAGAAUUCCAGGUGUAGCGGUGAAAUGCGUAGAUAUCUGGAGGAAUACCGGUGGCGAAGGCGGCAUCCUGGACCAUUACUGACGCUGAGGCGCGAAAGCUAGGGGAGCAAA